GAUUGUGCGCAGUACAUAAUCCGAGAUAGUGGUGUUUGUCAACAGACUUGUGUUGGCAAUACUUGAACGAAUAUCGGGAGGCGUAUGGUAAAAGUUUGCUCCAAGCUAACACGUUGCCGUGAAUAUUGAACCCCCCUGAUUCCAUGAUUUGAAUAUUGCUGCUCGAAAUCUCGUGAUCCCAGAUAUUCAGUUGUGAAAACUUUUUACCGUUACUUGAAAGAGGGACAAGGAAAUUUUCCUUUCCGCAGAGAAAAUGCCAAUAUUUGAAGAAAGUUGGAACCUGCCUAAGAAAGAAAUAGGUUUAUGUACAAACUUUUGCACUUUAUCAGACGUGUUCAGAUGUUGAAACUUGAGUCCUUAACUUAAAUGAAUGGUGACUUUAUCCAGUAGCAACUCCACAAUCAGGCAAAACAUAUUAUAGUCUUUAAUUCUGAUCGUAACAUACAUACAACAAUACCAUUGGUUAUGAAUUUCAAAAGAUCAAAAUCGUACAAACCAA
Xenia sp. Carnegie-2017 is the source of this 499-nucleotide long non-coding RNA. RefSeq lists it as uncharacterized. The transcript has 3 exons. Lineage: Eukaryota; Metazoa; Cnidaria; Anthozoa; Malacalcyonacea; Xeniidae. The record is from RefSeq and is a predicted model, not a curated record.